GGCACCAAAGAAGGCACACUGGAGUCGACAGAUGUAGAAGCGCCUUACAUAACGGGGUACAUUUCUGCACAAGGCACAAAGAAAGUAGAAGCACCUUACCUAACUGGAUACAAUUCUGCGCAAGGCACAAAGGGCAAAAAAGAAGUAGAGGCACCUUACAUAACCGGAUACAUUUCUGCACAAGACACAAAGGAAGUAGAAGCACCUUACCUAGCCGGAUACAAUUCCGCGCAAGGCACAAAGGGCAAAAGAGAAGUAGAGGCACCUUACAUAACCGGAUACAUUUCUGCACAAGGCACAAAGAAUGUAGAAGCACCUUACCUAGUCGGAUACAAUUCUGCGCAAGGCACAAAGAGCAAAAAAGAAGUAGAGGCACCUUACAUUACCGGAUACAUUUCUGCACAUGGCGCAAAGAACUG
RNAcentral lists this long non-coding RNA (419 nucleotides) under Fragaria vesca (wild strawberry). Its description in RNAcentral is "long non-coding RNA (FVES_LNC002223)". The record is from RNAcentral. Lineage: Eukaryota; Viridiplantae; Streptophyta; Magnoliopsida; Rosales; Rosaceae.